This 69-nucleotide transfer RNA is filed under the name Anolis intermedius. RNAcentral describes it as "tRNA-Trp". It matches the Rfam family "tRNA". Rfam says of the family: Transfer RNA (tRNA) molecules are approximately 80 nucleotides in length. Their secondary structure includes four short double-helical elements and three loops (D, anti-codon, and T loops). Further hydrogen bonds mediate the characteristic L-shaped molecular structure. tRNAs have two regions of fundamental functional importance: the anti-codon, which is responsible for specific mRNA codon recognition, and the 3' end, to which the tRNAs corresponding amino acid is attached (by aminoacyl-tRNA synthetases). tRNAs cope with the degeneracy of the genetic code in two manners: having more than one tRNA (with a specific anti-codon) for a particular amino acid; and 'wobble' base-pairing, i.e. permitting non-standard base-pairing at the 3rd anti-codon position. The record is from RNAcentral. Lineage: Eukaryota; Metazoa; Chordata; Lepidosauria; Squamata; Anolidae.
AAAAACUUAGGUUAAUAAAACCAAGGGCCUUCAAAGCCCCAAAUAAGGAUGCAACCCCCUUAGUUUUUG